UUCGGCCCACAUAAUUUACGUCCCAAGACGAUUCGUCAAUAUAUAUAACUAUGUUUAUAUUUUAGUGAUAGUAUAAUACAGUGUUAAUUAGUUUGAAAAAAAUACAUUAUUAUUAAGUUAAAUAACAAAUUUGAGUGUUAAACUUUAAAGUUUAAUAGUCGUAAAUUUAUGGGGAAUAAUAAAUCUAUUUCUAUUUUAUUAUGUAUUAUUUUAUAUUCUAGAUCCUGGUCCUGGUUGAAAUUUAGAGUAUUACAGAUGUAGCCUUUAUACCAUACAUUCAACAUGAAAAGGACUGUCAGGAUGCUGCAUAAAAUGGUCUUGGCAAGAGCCUAGAAUGUUAAUUUCUUGGGAAUAUGCUGCAAGGAACUGACGGGGAGCAGUUUUUCUUACCAACCAUAGGAGCAGUAAUUUAAGAGACAGCCAAAGAAGUACUCAAACACUUGACAUACCCAGAAAGAUCUAGAAGAAAUGAUUGGAACAGAUUGUAGUUUAAUUGUUAAAACUAUUAAAGUGAAUUUAAGCUGCACUUGAACUGUAUUUUUGAAAUAAAAUAUCUGAAGUAUUUAAUAUUGUCUUGAUAUUUUGUUAAACUUGGUUACUUUGCUUUAU
Long non-coding RNA from Ruditapes philippinarum (Manila clam), 609 nucleotides. RefSeq lists it as uncharacterized. NCBI's taxonomy places the organism in Eukaryota, Metazoa, Mollusca, Bivalvia, Venerida, Veneridae. The record is from RefSeq and is a predicted model, not a curated record. The transcript is spliced from 3 exons.